UACAGAGGUCCCAAGCGUUGUUCGGAUUCACUGGGCGUAAAGGGUGCGUAGGUGGUCGGGUAAGUCUGAUGUGAAAUCUCGGAGCUUAACUCCGAAACUGCAUUCGAUACUGCCGUGCUUGAGGACUGGAGAGGAGACUGGAAUUUACGGUGUAGCGGUGAAAUGCGUAGAUAUCGAGAGGAACACCAGUGGCGAAGGCGAGUCCCUGGACAACUUCUGACGCUGAGGCACGAAAGCUAGGGGAGCAAACAGG
RNAcentral lists this ribosomal RNA (253 nucleotides) under uncultured bacterium. RNAcentral describes it as "partial 16S ribosomal RNA". It matches the Rfam family "Bacterial small subunit ribosomal RNA", at positions 524 to 776 of the family's 1533-position model. The record is from RNAcentral.